Molecule: long non-coding RNA, 2226 nt
Filed under: Mus musculus (house mouse)
Lineage: Eukaryota; Metazoa; Chordata; Mammalia; Rodentia; Muridae
Description: long non-coding RNA chr2:34805451-34807677
Source: RNAcentral
AAAAAUGCAACCUCUCUUACACUGACCAACAUAACUAAGUACAAAUGAAGUCAAUGGUGUAUCCCAUUAGCAUGCUGCGGUGUAUGUCAGUAAACAAGCCCUCCCCGCCCCAGCCCUGGCAAACAGAUAAAUGAUUGUGCACUGCGUGAUGAUACCUUUAGGUGAGAACUUUGGUUCAUGCAGUUGGCUGCCAUAGACAUUGCACCCAAAACCCGCAGCCCUGGCACCCAAAGUCAGUCAGCGGUGGUAGCUCCUGGUGUCAGCAAUGCUCCUUCCAUAACACCAGGUGAAUACUGUGGUCAGGCAUGCUGGUGGCAAAGACUAAGCCCGUGUCAUUGUGCCCAUCCAAUCCAUUCAACCAGGACGCUUCGCCUGCCAGGAAGCUGGAGCCUCUCUUUGAUUUCCUGUACUCUGGCAGAGGCCAGCGGCUAAUUAGGCUCUCUGUCCUCAAGUCCAUGAUAUAUAGGUAGUGGUUGUCAAACAGCAGGGCGAAGACAUCUCCAAAGCCAAGCAAGGCCAAGUUUGCUACCUCAGGUGUCUUGAUGACCCUAUAAGGAGGAGAGUUCAGGGUCAUGAGGCAAAGGAAACAUGGCUGGAGACACUUAAAACUCCCAAGCAAAUUUAGAGCUAAUAAGAAUUUUUGAUUAAAAGAAUACCAUGAGGAUAAAAGUUAGCCUACUUACAAAAAGCAGGGAAGAAGAAACCUGCCCUCUGACAGACAAGCAGAGGCAAGGUGUUAUGUUUGAUAAACACAAAAUAUCCAUCCAGGCUUGAAAGGAUUCUACAGGUUAACUUAUAAUUCAAAUUAUAAAAACCACUUUAUUUAAUCAUUUGCACUCUUAAGACUUAGAAACUGACACCCAGGCAGGAGUUCACAGAAUCUGUUGGUUAGGGGUGAAAACCAGAAUGAAGCCUGAUUCAUCCUCAGGACAAGUCUAAAUGGCUUUUUCUCUAAAAAUACUACUAGCUAGAGAUAGUAAAAACUGCUGGGAAUUUAUAAGCAUCUAUUAACAAUGGAUUCAUAGGUUUUAGAAACAACUGGCUAAGUUGGAAAAUCAGUCACAGCUUUCAUAGGGUGGCAGUUCCCAAAUACCAAUGACCAAGACACAAAAUGGGAGACCUAAUGCAAUAUAUGCACCAAUGAAAAAAGAAAAACAAAAAUCAAAGCAGCUUCCCUGUGUCAAGCACCAGAUUGACAGGACAAGUCAGAUGUUGUCUGGAGUCUACACUUUCCCACGGCAACCUCCUUAGGCUCCUUUGGUUGGGAGGUUAGUUUAGAUGUUAACAAGGACACCAGCAAUAUCUUAGACCAGCUUAUGUCUAAGAGGCCAACUAGAACGGGGGUGGCUGGUAAACUCGGUGAAGCAAGAACAGCCAAGGAUAAUAGCUAGAGCAGCGUUUGAGUAGAACAACCCUUUCACAGGGGUCUAAGACCACUGGAAAAUACAGAUGUUUGCGAUUCAUAACAGUAGCAAAAGUUAUAGUUAUGAAGUAGCAAUGAAAUAAUUCUAUGGCUGGUGUCACUACAAAAUGAGGAAGAUUGAGAACCUCUGAGCUAGAGUAAGCAAAACAGAAUGUCAGGAAGGGAAACAACACAUUAUUACUGUCAAACAGCAGAGUGUGGAUAGAGAAGGCCUCCCAUUACAACUUCUAGAAAACAGAACUAGGUUCAAAGGAAAAGUUACCAUCACCACCACCACCCCACCACCCAGAUUUGAAUUUGACAUUAGGAAGGGAGGGCCAUUUUUUUAACCUAUCAUUUACCAUGUGUUGGGCAUAAAACUUCUAAUUAACACAGAGCACAUGCUGGCCUAAGGAAACAUUACCUGAGAAUAUCAUAACUGGCAAAGUCCCACUGGUACAGACCCAGGGCUGAACUACAGACAAUGUAUUUUCCAUCAAAAUGAAGUCUUGGCUGCAGGCAGAUACUUCUAUCCUCAGAGACAGACAGUGUCUUCAAGCACUUACAGUUGAUUUCUCUCCCAAUUGGCCAAAUCUAAAAAGGGGGGAUGGUGAUUACUAAAGAAAAGUUGGUGUUUAUACAAUGUGGCUUGAAGAAAGAAAGACAAAAGUGGCACCUGUUAAUAGACAAAAAGGGAAUAGUGCCAGGACUUCUGUUUUAGUCAAGAGUCACAGGCUUAAGUCCUGAGUCUAUAUGGUCUUAGGUAAACUAUUUAACCUUUCUAAAUAAAGAUAAUGCCCACUACAAAGAAAGUUUUAAAAUGC